RNAcentral lists this ribosomal RNA (464 nucleotides) under Vreelandella stevensii. RNAcentral's name for it is "partial 16S ribosomal RNA". It matches the Rfam family "Bacterial small subunit ribosomal RNA", at positions 338 to 795 of the family's 1533-position model. Lineage: Bacteria; Pseudomonadati; Pseudomonadota; Gammaproteobacteria; Oceanospirillales; Halomonadaceae. The record is from RNAcentral.
CCUAGGGUCGCAGCAGUGGGGAAUAUUGGACAAUGGGCGAAAGCCUGAUCCAGCCAUGCCGCGUGUGUGAAGAAGGCCUUCGGGUUGUAAAGCACUUUCAGUGGGGAAGAAAGCCUUGGGGCUAAUACCCUCGAGGAAGGACAUCACCCACAGAAGAAGCACCGGCUAACUCCGUGCCAGCAGCCGCGGUAAUACGGAGGGUGCGAGCGUUAAUCGGAAUUACUGGGCGUAAAGCGCGCGUAGGCGGUCUGAUAAGCCGGUUGUGAAAGCCCCGGGCUCAACCUGGGAACGGCAUCCGGAACUGUCAGGCUAGAGUGCAGGAGAGGAAGGUAGAAUUCCCGGUGUAGCGGUGAAAUGCGUAGAGAUCGGGAGGAAUACCAGUGGCGAAGGCGGCCUUCUGGACUGACACUGACGCUGAGGUGCGAAAGCGUGGGUAGCAAACAGGAUUAGAUACCCCUGUAGUC